UGAUUGGCAUGAUUCAAGAGUCAACACCCCGUUAAUUGCUUUUGUUACUCUGGACAUCAAGAGAUCAAGGGCUUCUAAAUUUGUUGAAAGUAGGAUUUAAAAAUGAAGAUACGACAUGAAAAAAGAUGGUAGUGGUGGGUAUGGAGGAGGAUGCCACUGACUCAUAUAUGCUCAAGAGCUUCACUAGAGAAAUUUCUCCCAGGCUGAGGAACUUGCUGAUGAGGAAGCCCUUUUACUCCUCCCUCUUGACUCUCUGUCACCAUUUUCUUCUCUUUCAUAUCAUCCUUGAUCCCCGCAUCACCCACAACAGGUGGCUCGUCCACCACUCCUUUAACUUCUUUUAUCACUUUCUUUGGCUCUUUGUUACGGUUCAUGGCUUCCUUGUCUCUCCUGGACUCCAUUGCCAAUAUCCCAACUUCGAACUGAUUGUUUUCCUUCCUCCGAUUCUAGUUAAGAAACAAUCUUAAUUUUGCCUCGUCUCUCCUUUCAGCUUUUUCUUUGUGUUUGUUGGUUUUCUUCUAAAUCUUAUAUUAGGUAUGCGGUGCUUUUUCUUUGUUGUUACAUAUGAAGCUGUUGAUGGUAGCAUUUAAUGGUGCAACCUCUUAGUGAAGUGAGGAGAUACUAAUCAAAUUUGCUCGAGUUAUCAAGUUGAGCUGGAGAAGUGGUGUCUCACCCAGAAGGUGAUGUCUGUGUUUGUGGGUUGGCAGUAGUAUAUACCUUAUCUCUAUAAUUUUAACCGUUUGCUGCAAAAAAAAAACUUUUGACCACAAAAAAUAAAUAGAAACAUAAUUGAUUUCUAUACUUUUAUCUCAUACCAUUAUAGAAUUCUCAGCAUGUUUAUCUGUUUUGCUGUCUCUGCAAGAAAGCAGCAUGUGUCUUGUUGAAACACACGGCAAUCUUGCCGCAUGACAUGUUGCUUUAAUUUUUUUUUUUUUGAGGCCGAUCAUGUUUCUUUACUAGAAAGUCUUUUGGUAUAAUCUUCAGAAAA
Carica papaya (papaya) is the source of this 988-nucleotide non-coding RNA. The record is from RefSeq and is a predicted model, not a curated record. Lineage: Eukaryota; Viridiplantae; Streptophyta; Magnoliopsida; Brassicales; Caricaceae.